CCUACGGGAGGCAGCAGUAGGGAAUCUUCGGCAAUGGGGGGAACCCUGACCGAGCAACGCCGCGUGAACGAAGAAGUUAUUCGUAAUGUAAAGUUCUUUUAACAGGGAAGAAAGAGAAAUUUGACGGUACCUGAAGAAUAAGCUCCGGCUAACUACGUGCCAGCAGCCGCGGUAAUACGUAGGGAGCGAGCGUUAUCCGGAAUUAUUGGGCGUAAAGGGUGCGUAGAUGGCAUAGUAAGUCUUUGGUAAAAAUGCUGGGCUAAACCCAGUAGGGCAAAAGAUACUGCAAAGCUAGAGGAUGAGAGAGGGGAGUGGAACUACAUGUGUAGCGGUGAAAUGCGUAGAUAUAUGGAAGAACACCAGUGGCGAAGGCGGCUUGCUGGGUCGCUACUGACAUUGAGGCACGAAAGCGUGGGGAGCAAACAGGAUUAGAUACCCUGGUAGUC
RNAcentral lists this ribosomal RNA (446 nucleotides) under uncultured bacterium. RNAcentral describes it as "partial 16S ribosomal RNA". It matches the Rfam family "Bacterial small subunit ribosomal RNA", at positions 338 to 795 of the family's 1533-position model. The record is from RNAcentral.